RNAcentral lists this unclassified non-coding RNA (327 nucleotides) under soil metagenome. Its description in RNAcentral is "partial contains 5.8S ribosomal RNA, internal transcribed spacer 2, and large subunit ribosomal RNA". The stretch from base 1 to 120 matches the Rfam family "5.8S ribosomal RNA", at positions 35 to 154 of the family's 154-position model. The record is from RNAcentral.
GAUGAAGAACGUAGCGAAAUGCGAUAAGUAACGUGAAUUGCAGAAUUCAGUGAAUCAUCGAAUCUUUGAACGCACAUUGCGCCCUUUGGUAUUCCGAAGGGCAUGCCUGUUCGAGCGUCAUUUCACCACUCAAGCCUGGCUUGGUAUUGGGCGCCGCGGUCGAUCCGCGCGCCUCAAAGUCUCCGGCUGAGCUGUCCGUCUCUAAGCGUUGUGAUUUCAUUAAUCGCUUCGGAGUGCGGGCGGCCGCGGCCGUUAAAUCUUUCACAAGGUUGACCUCGGAUCAGGUAGGGAUACCCGCUGAACUUAAGCAUAUCAAUAAGCGGAGGA